RNAcentral lists this ribosomal RNA (253 nucleotides) under uncultured bacterium. RNAcentral's name for it is "partial 16S ribosomal RNA". It matches the Rfam family "Bacterial small subunit ribosomal RNA", at positions 524 to 776 of the family's 1533-position model. The record is from RNAcentral.
UACGUAGGGGGCUAGCGUUAUCCGGAAUCACUGGGCGUAAAGCGUCUGUAGGUGGUCAAAUAAGUCAACUGUUAAAUCUUGAGGCUCAACCUCAAAACCGCAGUCGAAACUAUUAGACUAGAGUAUAGUAGGGGUAAAGGGAAUUUCCAGUGGAGCGGUGAAAUGCGUAGAGAUUGGAAAGAACACCGAUGGCGAAGGCACUUUACUGGGCUAUGACUAACACUCAGAGACGAAAGCUAGGGUAGCAAAUGGG